RNAcentral lists this ribosomal RNA (632 nucleotides) under uncultured bacterium. RNAcentral describes it as "bacterial SSU rRNA". It matches the Rfam family "Bacterial small subunit ribosomal RNA", at positions 338 to 1533 of the family's 1533-position model. The record is from RNAcentral.
CCUACGGGAGGCAGCAGUGGGGAAUUUUGGACAAUGGGCGCAAGCCUGAUCCAGCAAUGCCGCGUGAGUGAAGAAGGCCUUCGGGUUGUAAAGCUCUUUUGUCAGGGAAGAAACGGUCUACUCUAAUACAGUGGGCUAAUGACGGUACCUGAAGAAUAAGCACCGGCUAACUACGUGCCAGCAGCCGCGGUAAUACGUAGGGUGCAAGCGUUAAUCGGAAUUACUGGGCGUAAAGCGUGCGCAGGCGGUUAUAUAAGUCAGAUGUGAAAUCCCCGGGCUCAACCUGGGAACUGCAUUUGAGACUGUAUGGCUAGAGUGUGUCAGAGGGGGGUAGAAUUCCACGUGUAGCAGUGAAAUGCGUAGAUAUGUGGAGGAAUACCGAUGGCGAAGGCAGCCCCCUGGGAUAACACUGACGCUCAUGCACGAAAGCGUGGGGAGCAAACAGGAUUAGAUACCCUGGUAGUCCACGCCCUAAACGAUGUCUACUAGUUGUCGGGACUUAAUUGUCUUGGUAAACGCAGCUAACGCGUGAAGUAGACCCGCCUGGGGGAUACGGUCGCAAAGAUUUAAAAACCUCAAAAGAAGUAAGUAGACGNGAGAGAGACGACGACGACGACGACGGAGGGAGGAGG